AAAAAAUUAGAAAAAAAAAAAAAAGAGACACAGCCUCUUUUCUCCUCUCUGCGUUUUCCCUUCCUCUCCCUCUCUCGUCUCCAUGGUUUAGCUCUUCUUCGUCCCCGAACCCUAACAAUGGCGUCUCGUCGCUGUACCAUGGAGUCAACCCCUCCUCUCCUCCUCCUCCUCUUCCUCUUCCUCUCCAUCUUCCUCCUCCUCUCCUCCCACGUCGGCGGAGCACCGGACCUCGACUCCGACCGCGCGGCGCUCCUCGCCUUCGCCGCCGCCGGAACCCUAGGCAACCUCACCGCCCUCCGCGUCCUCUCCCUCCGCUUCAACGCCCUCUCCGGCCCCCUCCCCUCCGACCUCGCCGCUCUCCUCGAGCUCCGCAACCUCAACCUCCAGCGCAACUUCUUCUCCGGCGAGAUCCCCGUGGGGCUCCUCUCCCUCCCCAAUCUCGUCCGCCUCAACCUCGCCGACAACGGCCUCUCCGGCGGGAUCUCGCCGGAGUUCGGGAAGAUGACGCAUUUGAAGACGCUCUACCUCGAGAGGAACCGGCUCACGGGGCAGAUCCCUGACCUCAACCUCGCCUCGCUGGGCGCGUUCAACGUCUCCUACAACCUGCUCAACGGAUCGGUGCCCGAGGGGCUGCGGCGGAUGCCCGCGAGCUCGUUCCUGGGCAUGCCGCUCUGCGGCGGGCCCCUCGGCCCCUGCCCCGGCGAGAUCU
Molecule: long non-coding RNA, 709 nt
Filed under: Ananas comosus (pineapple)
Lineage: Eukaryota; Viridiplantae; Streptophyta; Magnoliopsida; Poales; Bromeliaceae
Description: long non-coding RNA (ACOM_LNC004481)
Source: RNAcentral